AGAGUUUGAUCCUGGCUCAGAGCGAACGCUGGCGGCAGGCUUAACACAUGCAAGUCGAGCGGGCGUAGCAAUACGUCAGCGGCAGACGGGUGAGUAACGCGUGGGAACGUACCUUUUGGUUCGGAACAACACAGGGAAACUUGUGCUAAUACCGGAUAAGCCCUUACGGGGAAAGAUUUAUCGCCGAAAGAUCGGCCCGCGUCUGAUUAGCUAGUUGGUGAGGUAACGGCUCACCAAGGCGACGAUCAGUAGCUGGUCUGAGAGGAUGAUCAGCCACAUUGGGACUGAGACACGGCCCAAACUCCUACGGGAGGCAGCAGUGGGGAAUAUUGGACAAUGGGCGCAAGCCUGAUCCAGCCAUGCCGCGUGAGUGAUGAAGGCCCUAGGGUUGUAAAGCUCUUUUGUGCGGGAAGAUAAUGACGGUACCGCAAGAAUAAGCCCCGGCUAACUUCGUGCCAGCAGCCGCGGUAAUACGAAGGGGGCUAGCGUUGCUCGGAAUCACUGGGCGUAAAGGGUGCGUAGGCGGGUCUUUAAGUCAGGGGUGAAAUCCUGGAGCUCAACUCCAGAACUGCCUUUGAUACUGAAGAUCUUGAGUUCGGGAGAGGUGAGUGGAACUGCGAGUGUAGAGGUGAAAUUCGUAGAUAUUCGCAAGAACACCAGUGGCGAAGGCGGCUCACUGGCCCGAUACUGACGCUGAGGUACGAAAGCGUGGGGAGCAAACAGGAUUAGAUACCCUGGUAGUCCACGCCGUAAACGAUGAUAACUAGUUGUUCGGUCACUUGGUGACUGAGUGACGCAGC
This 800-nucleotide ribosomal RNA is filed under the name uncultured bacterium. Its description in RNAcentral is "bacterial SSU rRNA". It matches the Rfam family "Bacterial small subunit ribosomal RNA", at positions 8 to 852 of the family's 1533-position model. The record is from RNAcentral.